AUGAAGUGCGAUAUUGACAU
RNAcentral lists this microRNA (20 nucleotides) under Callorhinchus milii (elephant shark). RNAcentral describes it as "eshark_NOVEL_33". Lineage: Eukaryota; Metazoa; Chordata; Chondrichthyes; Chimaeriformes; Callorhinchidae. The record is from RNAcentral.